Hylaeus anthracinus is the source of this 1705-nucleotide long non-coding RNA. RefSeq lists it as uncharacterized. Lineage: Eukaryota; Metazoa; Arthropoda; Insecta; Hymenoptera; Colletidae. The transcript has 3 exons. The record is from RefSeq and is a predicted model, not a curated record.
UCUCGAGUUUCGUGUGAAUUUAGUCGUAUACGAACACUUUCGUAUGGCGUGUUUCGUGUACGAAUCGUUCACAUAUGAAAACGGUAUUCUGGAGCACUAUACGAAUCACUGAUUCGUAUACGUAUGAAACAGUAUUGCCAGAUUUACGCGUUGGAGACGAACCAAUGAUUGUUCAACUUUAGAAAAUACCAACGGAAAUAUACAUGGCGUCCUGUCAAUGUCACGUGUAGUUUUCCGUAAAGGAGAACGCUGUGCAAGAGGCCCUAGCCGUCCGUUUAUUACACUCUAGUUGUAAUGUUUUAUUGCGGCCACGGGAUGCGACGGUACUUCCGAGUGACCAUGUGUUUUCCCAAAUUUAGAAACUUGGCAGUAUUAACCGAGAAGCGUUUGAGGAAAGGCAGUAUUAUCCCACAAGCGUUUGCGGAAAUAUCGUGGAAAGAAUUGCGUGAAACAAAAAUGUGCGACGAGGGUAAACCAACUAAACGAACAGGGAACAUAUCCCGCGAGCAAAAAGAAAUUCUUAUUGAAUGUAUAGAAUCAAACCCAAACCUAACGAGGUCAACAUUUUCGGCCGACUAUACGUAGAAAGAUGGGCAGCGUUUGUGGCAAAAAAUAACCAAUAUUUUAAACGCUUCGCCAGGGGCGAAGAAAGAUUCGAAACAAUGGAGACGUGUAAGUGUUUACAUAGUGUUUAUAAGUGUUUUAUAUUCAAUUUUGCAAAAGCUGCAUUAACAUAUUUUUUUUCCUUUGUAAAAUAGACGUGGCAAGAUUUCCGAGGAAAAGCGAAGGCAAAGCAGUCUUCUAUUAACAGAAAUUUAAAUGCCACAGGCAGUGGUCCGUUAAAUACAGAAAGUUUAUCGGUGGAGGAGAAACGUGUCCUAAACACAAUCCAUGCAACACAAGUAAAGGGUGAUUACAGUAUAGAUGAAACGCCGAUACAAUUUGACUACUCCGAAGAAUAUUUAGAUACAGACUUGGUGGACAAUGAGAAGGUGGAAAACCAGCAGACUCAACCUGGCCCUUCAAUAAUAGUAGAGAGACCGACGAUUAAGAUAGAAAAAGUGAGACAGAAACACCCUCUACGUCGAGCCACUAAACUACAAAAACAAACCUCUGGCAUGAAAUCACAAGCUUUCAGUGCUUCUGACACGAAUAGCCGAGGAAGAUAAAGAAAAUAGAAAGGAAUAUUAUAAUAAAAAAUUGGCAUUGCUGGAGAGGAAUGUAGUAGCUAAAGAAAGAAUUGCGGUAGCCUUAGAAACUUUAGCUACUACACAUUACGGAUGAAACAUAUGAAAGUUCUAUCUUUCGAAAAUUUGCAUAGUAUAAUAAAUUUCAAUUUUGAAUUAGAAGGUAAUUAUUUAAGUUAUUCUUGAUUACUUUGUUUUUAGUAAUUAUGCAAUACCUUAUUCUUAAUUACUGAAUAAUUCAAUUACUUAUAACUACCCAGAAAGUAAUUAAGAGGUAUCCCAAAUCUAAAGUAUAUAACAUUACCUCAAAAUAAUUAAAAAGUAAUUAUAAUUAUCUUUUAAUUACUUUUAGAUAUUUUUAUUUACUUUAGAUUUGGAAUACCUUUUAAUUACUUUCUGGGUAGUUAUAAGAAAUUAUUUAAAAGUAAUUGAAUUACUCAGUAAUUAAGAAUAAUGUAUUGCAUAAUUAUUAAAAAGAAAGCACUCAAGAAUUACUUAAAAUUUAAGUAACUCGUUGU